AUUGAACGCUGGCGGCAUGCCUUACACAUGCAAGUCGAACGGUAACAGGUCUUCGGAUGCUGACGAGUGGCGAACGGGUGAGUAAUACAUCGGAACGUGCCUAGUAGUGGGGGAUAACUACUCGAAAGAGUGGCUAAUACCGCAUGAGAUCUACGGAUGAAAGCAGGGGAUCGCAAGACCUUGUGCUACCUGAGCGGACGAUGGCAGAUUAGGUAGUUGGUGGGAUAAAAGCUUACCAAGCCGACGAUCUGUAGCUGGUCUGAGAGGACGAUCAGCCACACUGGGACUGAGAAACGGCCCAGACUCCUACGGGAGGCAGCAGUGGGGAAUUUUGGACAAUGGGCGCAAGCCUGAUCCAGCAAUGCCGCGUGCAGGAUGAAGGCCUUCGGGUUGUAAACUGCUUUUGUACGGAACGAAAAGCCCCGGGUUAAUACCCUGGGGUCAUGACGGUACCGUAAGAAUAAGCACCGGCUAACUACGUGCCAGCAGCCGCAGUAA
RNAcentral lists this ribosomal RNA (498 nucleotides) under uncultured bacterium. RNAcentral's name for it is "partial 16S ribosomal RNA". It matches the Rfam family "Bacterial small subunit ribosomal RNA", at positions 30 to 523 of the family's 1533-position model. The record is from RNAcentral.